AGCUUCCCAAGUAGCUGUGCCUACAGGCGUGCGCCACCACGCCCAGCUAAUUUUUGCAUUUUUAGUAAAGAUGGCGUUUUACCAUGUUGGCCAGGCUGGUCUCGAACUGCUGACCUCAGCUGAUCCACCCACCUUGGCCUCCCAAAGUGCUGGGAUUACAGUGUGAGCCACUGUGCCCAGCCAAGUUUGUCAUUUUGAAAACAUAUCCUUGUUGGAUUAUAAAAGUAACUUGUACAUUACAGAAAUUGUGAAAAAUAAGACGGGCACAGGGACAGCACCCUCAGUCACAAUUCCCCCAUCCACCUCCGGUCUUAAUGAGACGAGCUACACACACGUGAAGCAGCAGAACCACACGUGCCUCCCGCCUGUCCACACGGGCCGCUCCCCAGAGGUGGCAUGCCUUCAUGCCUUCCACCUCCCGCCUUCCCUUUUAAGAGACACUUGUUUGGGCCAGGUGUGGUGCUCACACUUGUCAUCUCUAUACUUUGGGAGGCCGAGGUGGGUGGAUCACUUGAGGUCAGGAGUUAAAGAGAUUGGCCUGGCCAACAUGGUGAAACCCUGUCUCUGCCAAAAAUUACAAAAAUUAGCAGGCGUGGUUGCAGGAGCCUAUAAUCCCAGCUACUCGGGAGGCUGAGGCAGAAGAGUCACUUGAACCCUGGAGGCGGAAGUUGUAAGCCAAGAUGGCGCCACUGCACUCCAGCCUGGGCAACAGAGCAAGACUUCGUCUCAAAAAAAAUUAAAAACUAAAGUGACCAAUUUGCAAAGGGACACCAAGAUUGCUUGGCUGUCGGUUCUGACAAACUGCCUAGAUCCUGGGGAAGUCAGGAAUUCCUCCCAUCACAGGAAAGGGCAGAUUCACACGGAUGCCCUACUCUAGCCCUCAUCCACCUGCGUGACUGAGAGACUCAGUGAGAGACCCGCAGAGCCUCACCCGGGCCACGCAGCAUGGGCCCUCAGCGGGUGGCAGCUGAUGCCCCUGGAAGGCAGAUCCGGCUCCUCCAGCUCCACCACUGGUUCCUCCACAGCUUCACUCCAAGACACUUCCAGACCCCCAGGGGGUGUCCCAAGUGAAAGUCUGGCCCCACAUCUACCCCAGAUCUCCGGUCACCUUGGGCACAAGUCUGAGUCAGGCUCUGCAGAAACACCCGGUGCCUCCCCCAGGCUCACACUGACAGCUGCGGGGCCUGGGUCAAGCGCAGCCCGUGCUCACCUUCAUGCCGUCCGCGCCUCGGUACACAGCUGUGCAGCCCUGGUAAGGACACUUGUAGAUGGUGGGGAGCUCCUCCCUGCAACGAAGAGCAGGCAUGGAGCCCGGCCCCGACAGGCAGGGCGCGCCUCGGGCUCCAGGCCUCACCUCUCACAGCGAAGCUGCUUCUUCCAUCCGGGCUUGGGUCCCGGCUUCUUCCGAAUUCUGGGUUCUUCAGACUUCUUGGCUUCUUUGCUUUCACUCUUCUUACCAGAGACCCUGAAAAAAAGAGGUUCCCAGAUUCAGUGGUUUCUGAUCUCCAUUUGAAAAAGGUUUCUUGUCUCUCCAACAUGAGAGAUGGUUUUUUUGAAGCUUCCCUGAGUUGCUUCUGUGCUGACUGACCCUCGAAAUCUACCUGAAGCCACCAAAACCAGAGCAACUCUGGACAGGAGGCCUCAGAGGCGAACACAGCAGAGGGCAAGGCGCAGGGCACAGCAGGGGUGAGUUCUGAGAACUGAAGCUUCAUCCUGUGCUACACAUAAAACCCAACACUGGAGAUAUCAGGAAAGACGGCAGAACAAAGGGGCUACCCCUUUAUCAAAAUGACCUUAAAUGCUAGGAAAAAGCUCAGAUCCACUCUCUGAAAACAGGACAGCUUGAUUCCAAGCUCAAGCCACCAGCCGGGGCUUUGGAAGAACAGGUGCUGUUCCCCCGGAAGCACAAGGUGAGCAGCUGCCACCCCGGCAUCUCUCAGCCCUGCCCCCGCUGUAGGGAGCCCAGCCUGUGUUCCUGGAGCUGCUGGCUGGGACCAUGGUGGGCAGGAGACCUUGUCCUCCAAAACUUGGGGGUCACGCACUUUAGUUGGUCUGGCAAGUCCCUGAGGGACCAGCAAAUGCAGCAGCGUCCAGUGUACAUCUAUUGGAGAUUUAGAGGAGAGAGACACUUGUGGUUCCUUUUUGGAUCCAGAUAAGGAUAGGGAAGGAAAUCCCUCAGGAAAAGAAGGGAACUUCACCAUGAUAAAGCCUGGACGUGAAACCCACAGCAGACGCCACACUCGAUUGUGAAAGACUGAAAGCUCUUCCUCCAGGAUGAGGAAAAGACACGGGUUCUCUCACCUCUGUUCUCAGCACAGCACUGGAGGCCCUGGCCAGAGUAACUGGGCAAGGAAAACAAAAAUUCUCCCUAUUCACAAAUGACAUGACCUUGUAUGUAGAAAACCCUAAAGAUCCACAUACAGAAAAACCCUAAUAAAUGAUUUCAGCAAAGCUGCAGAG
Molecule: long non-coding RNA, 2460 nt
Organism: Piliocolobus tephrosceles (Ugandan red Colobus)
Lineage: Eukaryota; Metazoa; Chordata; Mammalia; Primates; Cercopithecidae
Exons: 2
Source: RefSeq, a predicted model, not a curated record